AAGACACUAGCUCCAGCUUGCUCUCUCUGGGACACUUUGUAGGACACUCUGUGGCAAGACCGAUGAUAGGGACUUGAGGGCCCCUGCUGUUGACCAGGGUUAAUACACCAGUCACACUUGCCAACUUGGAAGCAGAGCCUCCAGCCCUCUUCAAGCCUUCUAUGACAUCCUGACUGCAGUCUCAUGGGAGACCCCCAAACCAGAACCACCUAUCCAGCUGCCGCUGAACUCCUGACCCACGGAAACUGGCUCUGGGAUGGCAGCUCCCUCAGCACCUAGAUCUGUGCCUACUUGGCCCUCCGCAGGGACUCAGGAACCUGAGGGUGAGCUUUGCUGGUCUCGGAAAAUGACUCCAAAUGUGCAAUUUGUUCCCAGGAACGGGGGUGUGUGAGUGAAAUGGCUCCUGGUAUGGCAGUGCCCUCGUCUCCUCCUGCGGUCUCCUCUUCCUUUACAUUCCUACUGACCCUUCUCCUCUUUCCCUCCCCUCCACACUCAAAGGGAAGAGAGUGGGUGUGUGCUCCCCUCGCCCCAACAGCCACUUCUGAGCCCUGUGACCCUGGACUGGCUAGAAGGGGUCACCAUGGGUAGAGUCUUGGACAUGAAUGAGGUCUUUGUUGUGGGGUUGGUCCUACCUCGAGUUUCUGCAAGCCACAGAGCAAUCGGUCUAGAAGAGGGGGGUGGGUAAAGCAAAGCCCAGGGCUAGUGAUGAAGCCACCUGGGUCUGGCCACAAGGUCACAGCGAGCAAACUCCAGAAUCUUCUUGGCCUCAUCCACACAUAUGACAUUGGAAGCCUUUAGGAGCUCAAGACUUUAGGAGCCUUCCUCUCAGGGGGUGCGGAGCCUCAAGUGCGACCACUUCAGAGCACCCACUCUUGGAGGUGGGCCCACCGUGGUUCAGUGGAGGUGCCACCACCACCAUGAAGCCUUCCUAUAUUCCCCCCAGGAUACCGAGCCCUCAGCAGGGUUAACCCCUCCCUGCCCAGGCUCCUCUGCUGACUGCUGGACUCAGUCGAUGGUACCUGGUUGGGCUGGGCUUCUGUUCAGAUGAAUGUAAAGCAAGUGAAGCUGAAGCUUUGGGGACCCUCACUGGCACGACCCCCUUCCAAAGCCAGUCCCUAAUUUUGUAUUCAUGAUCCCCUCAAAUUGUAUACACUUGGGUCCCACAGAGUUGGGUCCACUCCCGUUUUCAUCCCCACCCAGCUUGAGGUCAGAGCCUCUCUCCUGAACAGUUAUGGCAGGCAAUUUCUCCUCCCCUUCCACCUCCCCUAGGCCCCGGUUGGUCUGGCACCUGGGCCAGAUGGACCCAGAGACAAGGUUUCUGCAUCCACCUGCCCCACUUGGGGUCUCUGUGACCUCUGCUGUCCCCUCUUGGGUGACCAGCCCAGGCCUGCUCUCUGGCUCCCAGGUCACUCAUCUGAAACAAAAUUGGACUUCCUCUCUCCCUCUCUUCCCUCCCCAUCCUCCAUACCUGCCCUAGGGGCCUCCCAGGAACGUUGUGGGUCCUUAGUUUGCAAACCCCCAGCUCACAGACCUAGGAGAGGCCUGGGUUCGAAUCCUAGCCCCAUGCCUGGCAGCUGUGUGCCCAGGGGCAUCACCCACUCUUCAUCCUGAGGAGAAGUGCCUUCAAGUCCCUGGCACACAGGGGACUCAGGAAAGGCCCGAGGAUGGCCUUCUGAGACCCUCACACAGGCAGGCCCCUUGGCGGGCAGGGGGCUUCCCCCAGAUG
Long non-coding RNA from Bos taurus (domestic cattle), 1726 nucleotides. Lineage: Eukaryota; Metazoa; Chordata; Mammalia; Artiodactyla; Bovidae. The record is from Ensembl.